RNAcentral lists this ribosomal RNA (498 nucleotides) under uncultured bacterium. Its description in RNAcentral is "bacterial SSU rRNA". It matches the Rfam family "Bacterial small subunit ribosomal RNA", at positions 28 to 518 of the family's 1533-position model. The record is from RNAcentral.
GAGAUAGACGCUGGCGGCGUGCCUAAUACAUGCAAGUCGAACGAGGUAGCAAUACCGAGUGGCGAACGGGUGAGUAACACGUAGGUAACCUGCCCUUAAGCUUGGGAUACCCAGAGGAAACUUUGGCUAAUACCGGAUAACAACAGAGAAGGCAUCUUUCUUUGCUUGAAAGGCCCCUUCAAGGGUCACUUAAGGAUGGACCUGCGGCGCAUUAGCUAGUUGGUGAGAUAACAGCCCACCAAGGCGAGGAUGCGUAGCCGAACUGAGAGGUUGAUCGGCCACAUUGGAACUGAGACACGGUCCAAACUCCUACGGGAGGCAGCAGUAAGGAGUUUUCGGCAAUGGGGGAAAUCCUGACCGAGCAACGCCGCGUGAGCGAUGACGGCCCUAAUGGGUUGUAAAGCUCUGUUGUAAGCCAUGAAUGAUAACUUUAGGAAAUGAAAGCUAUUUGACGACAGCUUACCAGAAAGCCACGGCUAACUACGUGCCAGCCGCAGC